This 433-nucleotide ribosomal RNA is filed under the name uncultured bacterium. RNAcentral's name for it is "partial 16S ribosomal RNA". It matches the Rfam family "Bacterial small subunit ribosomal RNA", at positions 29 to 507 of the family's 1533-position model. The record is from RNAcentral.
AACGAACGCUGGCGGCAUGCCUAACACAUGCAAGUCGAACGAGACCUUCGGGUCUAGUGGCGCACGGGUGCGUAACGCGUGGGAACCUGCCCUUAGGUUCGGAAUAACUCCCCGAAAGGGGUGCUAAUACCGGAUAAUGUCUUCGGACCAAAGAUUUAUCGCCUUUGGGUGGGCCUGCGUUGGAUUAGCUGGUUGGUAGGGUAAAAGCCUACCAAGGCGACGAUCCAUAGCUGGUCUGAGAGGAUGAGCAGCCACACUGGGACUGAGACACGGCCCAGACUCCUACGGGAGGCAGCAGUGGGGAAUAUUGGACAAUGGGCGAAAGCCUGAACCAGCAAGGCCGCGUGAGUGAUGAAGGCCUUAGGGUUGUAAAGCUCUUUUACCCGGGAUGAUAAUGACAGUACCGGGAGAAUAAGCUCCGGCUAACUCCGUG